This 1383-nucleotide ribosomal RNA is filed under the name Pseudomonas sp. HMWF034. RNAcentral describes it as "bacterial LSU rRNA". It matches the Rfam family "Bacterial large subunit ribosomal RNA", at positions 1580 to 2925 of the family's 2925-position model. Lineage: Bacteria; Pseudomonadati; Pseudomonadota; Gammaproteobacteria; Pseudomonadales; Pseudomonadaceae. The record is from RNAcentral.
AGGUAACGAAGUGGUUGAUGCCAUGCUUCCAAGAAAAGCUUCUAAGCUUCAGGUAACCAGGAACCGUACCCCAAACCGACACAGGUGGUUGGGUAGAGAAUACCAAGGCGCUUGAGAGAACUCGGGUGAAGGAACUAGGCAAAAUGGCACCGUAACUUCGGGAGAAGGUGCGCCGGUGAGGGUGAAGGACUUGCUCCGUAAGCUCAUGCCGGUCGAAGAUACCAGGCCGCUGCGACUGUUUAUUAAAAACACAGCACUCUGCAAACACGAAAGUGGACGUAUAGGGUGUGACGCCUGCCCGGUGCCGGAAGGUUAAUUGAUGGGGUUAGCUAACGCGAAGCUCUUGAUCGAAGCCCCGGUAAACGGCGGCCGUAACUAUAACGGUCCUAAGGUAGCGAAAUUCCUUGUCGGGUAAGUUCCGACCUGCACGAAUGGCGUAACGAUGGCGGCGCUGUCUCCACCCGAGACUCAGUGAAAUUGAAAUCGCUGUGAAGAUGCAGUGUAUCCGCGGCUAGACGGAAAGACCCCGUGAACCUUUACUAUAGCUUUGCACUGGACUUUGAAUUUGCUUGUGUAGGAUAGGUGGGAGGCUUUGAAGCGUGGACGCCAGUCUGCGUGGAGCCAUCCUUGAAAUACCACCCUGGCAACUUUGAGGUUCUAACUCAGGUCCGUUAUCCGGAUCGAGGACAGUGUAUGGUGGGUAGUUUGACUGGGGCGGUCUCCUCCUAAAGAGUAACGGAGGAGUACGAAGGUGCGCUCAGACCGGUCGGAAAUCGGUCGUAGAGUAUAAAGGCAAAAGCGCGCUUGACUGCGAGACAGACACGUCGAGCAGGUACGAAAGUAGGUCUUAGUGAUCCGGUGGUUCUGUAUGGAAGGGCCAUCGCUCAACGGAUAAAAGGUACUCCGGGGAUAACAGGCUGAUACCGCCCAAGAGUUCAUAUCGACGGCGGUGUUUGGCACCUCGAUGUCGGCUCAUCACAUCCUGGGGCUGAAGCCGGUCCCAAGGGUAUGGCUGUUCGCCAUUUAAAGUGGUACGCGAGCUGGGUUUAGAACGUCGUGAGACAGUUCGGUCCCUAUCUGCCGUGGACGUUUGAGAUUUGAGAGGGGCUGCUCCUAGUACGAGAGGACCGGAGUGGACGAACCUCUGGUGUUCCGGUUGUCACGCCAGUGGCAUUGCCGGGUAGCUAUGUUCGGAAUAGAUAACCGCUGAAAGCAUCUAAGCGGGAAACUAGCCUCAAGAUGAGAUCUCACUGGAACCUUGAGUUCCCUGAAGGGCCGUCGAAGACUACGACGUUGAUAGGUUGGGUGUGUAAGCGCUGUGAGGCGUUGAGCUAACCAAUACUAAUUGCCCGUGAGGCUUGACCAUAUAACACCCAAGCAAUU